RNAcentral lists this ribosomal RNA (265 nucleotides) under uncultured Desulfocapsa sp. RNAcentral's name for it is "partial 16S ribosomal RNA". It matches the Rfam family "Bacterial small subunit ribosomal RNA", at positions 1117 to 1382 of the family's 1533-position model. The record is from RNAcentral. Lineage: Bacteria; Pseudomonadati; Thermodesulfobacteriota; Desulfobulbia; Desulfobulbales; Desulfocapsaceae.
GCCAUCAUUAAGUUGGGCACUCUAAAGAGACUGCCGGUGUCAAACCGGAGGAAGUGGGAGUGACGUCAAGUCCUCAUGGCCUUUAUGACCAGGGCUACACACGUACUACAAUGGCAGGUACAAAGGGCAGCCACUUAGCGAUAAGGCGCGAAUCCCAUAAAACCUGUCUCAGUCCGGAUUGGAGUCUGCAACUCGACUCCAUGAAGUUGGAAUCGCUAGUAAUCGCAGAUCAGCACGCUCGCGGUCGAAUACGUUCCCGGGCCUU